This 29-nucleotide ribosomal RNA is filed under the name Rasamsonia argillacea. RNAcentral describes it as "partial 18S ribosomal RNA". The record is from RNAcentral. Lineage: Eukaryota; Fungi; Ascomycota; Eurotiomycetes; Eurotiales; Trichocomaceae.
UACGAACCGUUCCGUAGGUGAACCUGCGG